This 76-nucleotide transfer RNA is filed under the name Candidatus Symbiopectobacterium sp. PLON1. RNAcentral describes it as "tRNA-Gly". It matches the Rfam family "tRNA". Rfam says of the family: Transfer RNA (tRNA) molecules are approximately 80 nucleotides in length. Lineage: Bacteria; Pseudomonadati; Pseudomonadota; Gammaproteobacteria; Enterobacterales; Enterobacteriaceae. RNAcentral also lists the same sequence under 1 other name. The record is from RNAcentral.
GCGGGAAUAGCUCAGUUGGUAGAGCACGACCUUGCCAAGGUCGGGGUCGCGAGUUCUAGUCUCGUUCCCCGCUCCA